RNAcentral lists this transfer RNA (74 nucleotides) under Deltaproteobacteria bacterium. RNAcentral describes it as "tRNA-Gln". It matches the Rfam family "tRNA". Rfam says of the family: Transfer RNA (tRNA) molecules are approximately 80 nucleotides in length. The record is from RNAcentral. Lineage: Bacteria; Pseudomonadati; Myxococcota; Myxococcia.
UCGGGGAUCGUCUAACGGCAGGACACAAGUUUCUGGUUCUUGUUAUCUAGGUUCGAAUCCUAGUCCCCGAGCUA